UACGUAGGGGGCAAGCGUUGUCCGGAAUCAUUGGGCGUAAAGAGCGUGUAGGCGGCCAGAAAAGUCCGCUGUGAAAACUCGAGGCUCAACUUCGAGCUGUCGGUGGAAACUUUCUGGCUAGAGUCCGGAAGAGGAGAAUGGAAUUCCUGGUGUAGCGGUGAAAUGCGCAGAUAUCAGGAAGAACACCCGUGGCGAAGGCGGUUCUCUAGGACGGUACUGACGCUGAGACGCGAAAGCGUGGGGAGCGAACAGG
This 253-nucleotide ribosomal RNA is filed under the name uncultured bacterium. RNAcentral's name for it is "partial 16S ribosomal RNA". It matches the Rfam family "Bacterial small subunit ribosomal RNA", at positions 524 to 776 of the family's 1533-position model. The record is from RNAcentral.